This 209-nucleotide long non-coding RNA is filed under the name Mytilus galloprovincialis (Mediterranean mussel). Lineage: Eukaryota; Metazoa; Mollusca; Bivalvia; Mytilida; Mytilidae. The record is from RNAcentral.
GACAAAUAGGUAAUAAAUUAGGAAUAGAGAAUAAUGAUGUGUAUAGGAUAGUGAAAAAAAAUAGAAAUAGAAAAAGAAAAUGAGAAAUAAAAUUAAACAUAAAGAAAUGGAGAACCUCCAUCCCGACCCUCAUAAACUGACUGACGGAAACUUUGGCAGACUUUAAACUAUCUGCUACAAGUGACUGUCAGCUUGUGUAUAGAACCAAC